Molecule: non-coding RNA, 177 nt
Filed under: Izhakiella sp.
Lineage: Bacteria; Pseudomonadati; Pseudomonadota; Gammaproteobacteria; Enterobacterales; Erwiniaceae
Source: RNAcentral
UUGUAGCAUGCGCGCACCGGUAUUAUGUGAAAUGGGAAUCCAGUGUAAAUCUGGAGCUGACGCGCAGCGGUAAUAAGUGUCAUGACAACAGCCUCGUGCAGACACUGUCCUUGUGAUGGGAAGUCGUUGUCAUUUAUGACUUUAAGCCCGAAGACCUGCCGGUGUUACGUCGCUUUC